RNAcentral lists this ribosomal RNA (274 nucleotides) under uncultured bacterium. RNAcentral's name for it is "partial 16S ribosomal RNA". It matches the Rfam family "Bacterial small subunit ribosomal RNA", at positions 523 to 796 of the family's 1533-position model. The record is from RNAcentral.
CUACGGAGGGGGUUAGCGUUGUUCGGAAUUACUGGGCGUAAAGUGCACGUAGGCGGACUGGAAAGUUGGGGGUGAAAUCCCGGGGCUCAACCCCGGAACUGCCUCCAAAACUUCCAAUCUAGAGAUCGAGAGAGGUGAGUGGAAUUCCAAGUGUAGAGGUGAAAUUCGUAGAUAUUUGGAGGAACACCAGUGGCGAAGGCGGCUCACUGGCUCGAUACUGACGCUGAGGUGCGAAAGCGUGGGGAGCAAACAGGAUUAGAAACCCUAGUAGUCC